This 151-nucleotide unclassified non-coding RNA is filed under the name uncultured Ascomycota. RNAcentral's name for it is "sequence contains ITS1". The record is from RNAcentral. Lineage: Eukaryota; Fungi; Ascomycota.
CAGAGUAUUACACUCCUAAACACCUGUCUACCUUACUACGUUGCUUCGGCAGGAGGCCCCUGGGAGGGGUCGUUGGGUGCCUGCCGGAGGUCAUACAAACUCUUGUUUUACACAAACCUAAAGAUUCUGAGUUAUACUUUUAAAUAAGUCA